AGGCUUAAUACAUGCAAGUCGAGGGGCAGCAUAGGACUUCGGUUCUGAUGGCGACCGGCGCACGGGUGAGUAACGCGUACACUACCUACCUUUAACAGAGGGAUAGCCCUGGGAAACUGGGAUUAAUACCACAUAGUAUUGCAUAAUUUAUUUUUAUGCAAUUAAAGCUCCGGCGGUUAAAGAUGGGUGUGCGUUAGAUUAGCUAGUUGGUAAGGUAAUGGCUUACCAAGGCUACGAUCUAUAGGGGGCGUGAGAGCGUGGACCCCCACACGGGCACUGAGACACGGACCCGACUCCUACGGGAGGCAGCAGUAAGGAAUAUUGGACAAUGGGCGCAAGCCUGAUCCAGCCAUCCCGCGUGAAGGAUGACGGCCCUAUGGGUUGUAAACUUCUUUUAUUAGGGAAGAAACCUUUUCAUUUAUGAAGAGCUGACGGUACCUAAAGAAUAAGCACCGGCUAACUCCGUGCCAGCAGCCGCGGUAAUACGGAGGGUGCAAGCGUUAUCCGGAAUCACUGGGUUUAAAGGGUGCGUAGGCGGAUAAAUAAGUCAGAGGUGAAAGCUUCCCGCUUAACGGGAAAAUUGCCUUUGAUACUGKUUAUCUUGAAUUAUGUUUGAGUAGGCGGAAUGUGACAUGUAGCGGUGAAAUGCAUAGAAUAUGUCAUA
This 664-nucleotide ribosomal RNA is filed under the name uncultured Bacteroidota bacterium. RNAcentral describes it as "bacterial SSU rRNA". It matches the Rfam family "Bacterial small subunit ribosomal RNA", at positions 44 to 703 of the family's 1533-position model. Lineage: Bacteria; Pseudomonadati; Bacteroidota. The record is from RNAcentral.